GUAUUUAAUUUUUUUAAACAUCCACUUUUUUUUUAACAGGGUGUAUAAAAAUCAUAGACAGCAGAUAGAAUCACUGCUGUCUACAAAAUGUGCACAGGUGAAAAAGAGUCAGAGUGCACAUGCAACUAUAAGUUGCCAGCACAUCCUUUGAGAAUCAUUAAUGAUCCUUCCGCAGGUUCACCUACGGAAA
Molecule: unclassified non-coding RNA, 190 nt
Filed under: uncultured fungus
Lineage: Eukaryota; Fungi
Description: sequence contains ITS1
Source: RNAcentral